Molecule: non-coding RNA, 27 nt
Filed under: Mus musculus (house mouse)
Lineage: Eukaryota; Metazoa; Chordata; Mammalia; Rodentia; Muridae
Source: RNAcentral
UGAGUUGCCAUCUUGUCUUCAUGAGUC